AGUGAACGCUGGCGGUAGGCCUAACACAUGCAAGUCGAACGGCAGCACAGUAAGAGCUUGCUCUUACGGGUGGCGAGUGGCGGACGGGUGAGGAAUACAUCGGAAUCUACUUUUUCGUGGGGGAUAACGUAGGGAAACUUACGCUAAUACCGCAUACGACCUACGGGUGAAAGCAGGGGAUCUUCGGACCUUGCGCGAUUGAAUGAGCCGAUGUCGGAUUAGCUAGUUGGCGGGGUAAAGGCCCACCAAGGCGACGAUCCGUAGCUGGUCUGAGAGGAUGAUCAGCCACACUAGAACUGAACCACGGUCCAGACCACUCCGCGAGGCAACGGUGGGGAAUAUUAGACAAUGGGCGCAACCCUAGUCCGAUCAUGCCGCGUCGCGUACAAAAGCCUUCGCGUUGUGGUUCCCUUUUGUUGGGAAAGAAAAACAGCAAGUUAUACCCCCACUGUUCUGACGGUACCCAAAGAAUAAGCACCGGCUAACUUCGUG
This 492-nucleotide ribosomal RNA is filed under the name uncultured bacterium. RNAcentral's name for it is "partial 16S ribosomal RNA". It matches the Rfam family "Bacterial small subunit ribosomal RNA", at positions 29 to 507 of the family's 1533-position model. The record is from RNAcentral.